This 2129-nucleotide ribosomal RNA is filed under the name Escherichia coli. RNAcentral describes it as "bacterial LSU rRNA". It matches the Rfam family "Bacterial large subunit ribosomal RNA", at positions 1 to 2157 of the family's 2925-position model. Lineage: Bacteria; Pseudomonadati; Pseudomonadota; Gammaproteobacteria; Enterobacterales; Enterobacteriaceae. The record is from RNAcentral.
UUAAGCGACUAAGCGUACACGGUGGAUGCCCUGGCAGUCAGAGGCGAUGAAGGACGUGCUAAUCUGCGAUAAGCGUCGGUAAGGUGAUAUGAACCGUUAUAACCGGCGAUUUCCGAAUGGGGAAACCCAGUGUGUUUCGACACACUAUCAUUAACUGAAUCCAUAGGUUAAUGAGGCGAACCGGGGGAACUGAAACAUCUAAGUACCCCGAGGAAAAGAAAUCAACCGAGAUUCCCCCAGUAGCGGCGAGCGAACGGGGAGCAGCCCAGAGCCUGAAUCAGUGUGUGUGUUAGUGGAAGCGUCUGGAAAGGCGCGCGAUACAGGGUGACAGCCCCGUACACAAAAAUGCACAUGCUGUGAGCUCGAUGAGUAGGGCGGGACACGUGGUAUCCUGUCUGAAUAUGGGGGGACCAUCCUCCAAGGCUAAAUACUCCUGACUGACCGAUAGUGAACCAGUACCGUGAGGGAAAGGCGAAAAGAACCCCGGCGAGGGGAGUGAAAAAGAACCUGAAACCGUGUACGUACAAGCAGUGGGAGCACGCUUAGGCGUGUGACUGCGUACCUUUUGUAUAAUGGGUCAGCGACUUAUAUUCUGUAGCAAGGUUAACCGAAUAGGGGAGCCGAAGGGAAACCGAGUCUUAACUGGGCGUUAAGUUGCAGGGUAUAGACCCGAAACCCGGUGAUCUAGCCAUGGGCAGGUUGAAGGUUGGGUAACACUAACUGGAGGACCGAACCGACUAAUGUUGAAAAAUUAGCGGAUGACUUGUGGCUGGGGGUGAAAGGCCAAUCAAACCGGGAGAUAGCUGGUUCUCCCCGAAAGCUAUUUAGGUAGCGCCUCGUGAAUUCAUCUCCGGGGGUAGAGCACUGUUUCGGCAAGGGGGUCAUCCCGACUUACCAACCCGAUGCAAACUGCGAAUACCGGAGAAUGUUAUCACGGGAGACACACGGCGGGUGCUAACGUCCGUCGUGAAGAGGGAAACAACCCAGACCGCCAGCUAAGGUCCCAAAGUCAUGGUUAAGUGGGAAACGAUGUGGGAAGGCCCAGACAGCCAGGAUGUUGGCUUAGAAGCAGCCAUCAUUUAAAGAAAGCGUAAUAGCUCACUGGUCGAGUCGGCCUGCGCGGAAGAUGUAACGGGGCUAAACCAUGCACCGAAGCUGCGGCAGCGACGCUUAUGCGUUGUUGGGUAGGGGAGCGUUCUGUAAGCCUGUGAAGGUGUGCUGUGAGGCAUGCUGGAGGUAUCAGAAGUGCGAAUGCUGACAUAAGUAACGAUAAAGCGGGUGAAAAGCCCGCUCGCCGGAAGACCAAGGGUUCCUGUCCAACGUUAAUCGGGGCAGGGUGAGUCGACCCCUAAGGCGAGGCCGAAAGGCGUAGUCGAUGGGAAACAGGUUAAUAUUCCUGUACUUGGUGUUACUGCGAAGGGGGGACGGAGAAGGCUAUGUUGGCCGGGCGACGGUUGUCCCGGUUUAAGCGUGUAGGCUGGUUUUCCAGGCAAAUCCGGAAAAUCAAGGCUGAGGCGUGAUGACGAGGCACUACGGUGCUGAAGCAACAAAUGCCCUGCUUCCAGGAAAAGCCUCUAAGCAUCAGGUAACAUCAAAUCGUACCCCAAACCGACACAGGUGGUCAGGUAGAGAAUACCAAGGCGCUUGAGAGAACUCGGGUGAAGGAACUAGGCAAAAUGGUGCCGUAACUUCGGGAGAAGGCACGCUGAUAUGUAGGUGAAGUCCCUCGCGGAUGGAGCUGAAAUCAGUCGAAGAUACCAGCUGGCUGCAACUGUUUAUUAAAAACACAGCACUGUGCAAACACGAAAGUGGACGUAUACGGUGUGACGCCUGCCCGGUGCCGGAAGGUUAAUUGAUGGGGUCAGCGCAAGCGAAGCUCUUGAUCGAAGCCCCGGUAAACGGCGGCCGUAACUAUAACGGUCCUAAGGUAGCGAAAUUCCUUGUCGGGUAAGUUCCGACCUGCACGAAUGGCGUAAUGAUGGCCAGGCUGUCUCCACCCGAGACUCAGUGAAAUUGAACUCGCUGUGAAGAUGCAGUGUACCCGCGGCAAGACGGAAAGACCCCGUGAACCUUUACUAUAGCUUGACACUGAACAUUGAGCCUUGAUGUGUAGGAUAGGUGGGAGGCUU